This 14131-nucleotide long non-coding RNA is filed under the name Gallus gallus (chicken). RNAcentral describes it as "lncRNA (ENSGALG00010009922.1)". Lineage: Eukaryota; Metazoa; Chordata; Aves; Galliformes; Phasianidae. The record is from RNAcentral.
CAGACAUCUGUAGGCUGCACCUGGCGAUCACACCUUUGUUUUCCCCUUUCUUGCAUGUCAGUGCUCCUUCUGGCACCAAUAUCGAUCAUUUAGUGCUUCAGACUUUGAUGUCCUGUGGGUUGAUUUUGCAGUAUGGGAAGUGACAGAAAGCCCAAGUAUAAUUUGCUUUUAUUUACACAUCACUGGCAGCUGGGAGCAGCAGAAGGCAAUUCCUUGCUCAGCAGUCUCAGCCCAGCACCAGUGCCUGAUUUCCAGGGAGCCAUUUCUGCCUGAAGAAUUGAGUCUAAUCAAGGCCCAAGGCAGAGAACACACACUCCUGCUGCUUGCAAAACCAUGUUCUCCCUCAAGCAAUGCCUCUGCACGGAGCCUGGCAGACCAAUGCUAGAGGUACACGGUGUCCCUAUCUGAAGCUAAAAUAGAAGGACCAGCACAAAAAGCCUUUUGCAUGCUUUGUUUUUCUUGUAACAAACAACCGGACUUGCCAUCUCCUGAGAUACAAAAUUAUUGAAUAUAUGCAGAGAUAGUAUUGGUGGUUAUAGUCUAAAGAAACCCACAUUUAAGGUUCUGGACAGAUUGCCUUUGUGUUUAGUUUAGGGAAUAAGCAAAGGAUAACCACCCAUCCUUCAGACAAAGGGAACAGUGCAAAUAUUGUGCUGAGACACCGAGUGCUGUCUUCCAGCAGUUACUGCAUGAACAACAAAAUACAUCCCUUCUAAGUGUCCAAUCUUAAAAAAAAGGCUUUCCAAAACUUACCUUUCACAAACAGUGAGAGCCCUCCAGUGCCAUCUCCAUGUGAUGCUGCUGGCACCCUAGCUGAGCUGUUUGCCGUUGCAGCCAUGCUCUGCAGGGAAAAGCAAAUGGAUGCAAUGCUUGACUGAAGGAAGGCCUUCCAGUGAUUUGGAAGACUGAGCAGAGGUGGCAGGGGGAGGAUUUCCCAGCUCUGCUGUGUAUGUUGAGGUGUGAGAGUUGUAUGUCUUCCACAACUGUUCAGAUUAAUCCUGAGACGUGACUGCACCAGAGAUCCCUGCUCUUUGUUCUUACAGACACAGACGUUUUUAAUUUCACUCUUGCAUUCUGUUAGCCACCAUGAAUUGUUCCAUCAUGGCCGAAAGGGUGAAAGCUGUUUUUCCAUCUGUGCCUGUAAGCCAUGCAAACUCUAGCUUUUGAUAUAAAUAAGCCCAAGCGACAAGAUCCAACAGAUCUCCAGAAUUUUCUGCCUUUACCAGCAUCGCUAAUUCACGCGCUAUAAAGUUAUCAGCAUAAGACUAAUAAAGCAGAGAGUUCUAUAAAAGUGGCAAGUGAGUCAUUGCAAUUGCUUCAGGCAGCGUAACCUACUUCUGCAUUCAGACACAGAUGGGAAAGAUUUACUCAUUGUCUCCAUUUUAGGUGCCUGCAAAAGAAGGCAAAGCACAAAAGGAAUCUUGCUUCCUCUCCAGUUUGUCCUCCCCUUCAACCCCAGCAGCAAAAAAAAUCAAAUCAGCUCCCUUUAAAGGAGAGGGAUCUCAAUGGGACUGCACUGUAAGGCAAAAUAGACCUUUAUUAACUAAAAUUAUAUCGCAGUUUAGGGGAGAAGCAUAACAAUCUAAAGACAUUGUGAAUUUCAGAAACCCAAAAUAUAGACAUUUUAAGAUGUAUUUCAUAUUUAUUAGAUUGGGAAAAUGUGUUACUUUAGAGAUAAGGCAAAAGUUUUCAUAGUGAGAGAUGUUUUCUGGCCUCUCUCUGCUCUGAUUUAAGUGAUGCAGCACCCAAGGGCUCUGCUUGUUUAUUAAAGGCAUCCGGUUUAUUUCCAGAAUAAAAAUAAAAAUUAAAAAAACCAACCUUAAAUAAAUGCAUGGCAGAACUGGAAGGACGGGGUUAUUUAAGUCUGUGCCAUGGCUGGAGUCUGGCCCUCCCCUCUCUGAACGUGGCUGUUGCUCACACCGGCAGCUGUGCUAACUCCUAGAGCUUCUUUACUGAGUGAGAGGCACGGAGUACAUCUACUGUGCAGUUCACAAGUGUGGUUUUAGCUUGUGCAAACAAACCUGAACGAGCUGUAAAGCAGGAACAAAACUGCCUAAAGCCAGCGGAUGAGCUCUCGGCUGCCUGAGCCCAAAGUGCCUCAGCUGUAGGCAGAUGCAGGCCAGGUGGUGGGAUACCACUUUGGGUACAUCUGUAUGGGGCAGCAUGGGCCUGAGAUACCCAAGAGCUGACAGGCUUCUGACUUGUGUAUAUUGCUGCUUUCUGCCCAAAACCUUAUCCAGCUGAAUUCUGAGAAAUUGCUUUAUUUGCCUGGCAUAUUUGAGUACCCACUGUAUCUGUCACCAAUGGAAGGUGCAGUGCUUCUGCACACAGAUCGUGUCAUGCACAGUAAGGCCAACAUUGUCUCUCAACAUCUGACCAAAUGUUGUAAGGCUGCAACCUUGACUUCUUGACCUAUUCACAGCAGGAAUGGAAGCCUUGGUCAGAAGAUCCCAAGCCAGACUGGAUAUGCUGUGCCUCAGCCCCAGCAGGAGAGGAGGCCAGGAUGCUGCUCCCCAGGAACAUCAGUUUUAGAGCAGAAGCCACAUGAUUGCCCUCCGGGUGCAUUAAACACAUCAGAUUUUGGAAGCAUCAUACUUACUGUGACUGUAAUGUGGUGAUCAGCUGGGUCAAUGCCCAGCUGAGGCACACUAAUCAUAACAAGCUACUUGCUGCACUUGGGUAAGACUCCUUACUAGGGCAAAACUCCUGAUCCAUCAUAUAGAAUCAUAGAAUCGCUAAGGUUGGAAAAGACCCACGGGAUCAUCCAGGCCAACCAUUCACCCUUCACCAAUGGUUCUCACUAAACCAUGUCCCUCAACACAACAUCCAAAUGCUCUUUGAACACCACCAGGCUCGGUGACUCCACCACCUCUCUGGGCAGCCCAUUCCAGAGCCUGACCACCCUUUCAGAGAAGUAGUAUCAUAGAAUCAUAGAAUCGCUAAGGUUGUAUUUCCUAACGUCCAGCCUGAACCUUCCCUGACGCAGCUUGAAGCCAUUCCCUCUAGUCCUAUCACUAGUCACACGAGAGAAGAGGCUGACCCCCAGCUCACUACAACCUCCCUUCAGGUAGUUAUAGAGAGCAAUAAGGUCCCCCCUGAGCCUCCUCUUCUCUAGACUGAACAAUCCCAGCUCCUUCAGCCGCUCUUCAUAAGGCCUGUGCUCCAGACCCCUCACCAGCUUAGUUGCCCUCCUCUGGACACGCUCCAGGGCCUCAAUGUCUUUCUUACAGUGAGGGGCCCAAAACUGGACACAGUACUCAAGGUGCGGCCUCACCAGUGCUGAGUACAGGGGAAUAAUUACUUCCCUGUUCCUGCUGGCCACACUAUUUCUGAUACAAGCCAGGAUGCCGUUGGCCUUCUUGGCCACCUGGGCACACUGCUGGCUCAUGUUCAGUCUAGCGUCAAUCAACACCCCCAGGUCCAUUUCCUCUACACAGUCUUCCAGCCACUCUGCCCCAAGCCUGUAGCGUUGCCUGGGGUUUGUUGUGGCCAAAGUGCAGGACCCGACAUUUGGUCUUGUUGAAUCCCAUCCCAUUGGCUUCAGCCCAGCUAUCCAGCCUAUCCAGAUCCCUCUGUAGGGCCUCGCUACCCCCAGGCAGAUCAACACUUCCAGCCUGCUUGGUGUCAUCUGCAAACUCACUGAGGGUGCACUCAAUGCCCUCAUCCAGGUCAUCAACAAAGAUAUUAAAGAUAUUAAAAAUAUCUUUUCUUGAACAGACAAUGAAGAGACAGUCCAUACUCUGGGCAACUACUACUUAAAAAUUCAUCUGCUUUUCAAAUCCCAAUAUGCCCAGUGUGGAGGGAAAGGAGAGAGGUACCUAACUGUCUUCAGAUGUGUUUCAUUUCCCCUGUCAUUUCAUGAAACCUGAAGCCAGAAUACUAUGAAAAGUGCAUUUGAGGCUUGAGUUUUCUUUCUUUUUAACAGUCUACUGCCUGCUUUUAAUGUUUACUGAGCUUUUGGCUGUAAAAAUGUAGCUGCAGCACAUGGUUGAGAGGUUUUUCUCAGUCUGUAGUCUCUGUCACAAAGGAAUUCCUCCUCCAGACUCCUUUGCCUUCCAUUCUGAGCUCCUCAGAGACCUCUGCUGCGGUCCCUGGCAGCAGAUCAAGGGGAAACAGCUUCAGUAAAAGCUCUCAUUGUAGCAACAAAACAUCAUUGAUCAACCAUGUUCAGUGCCAACAGCUUUUUGAAUCUGGCAUUUUUAAUGCCCAGUUUCUGCUUUCAUUCAAUUUUCAGGUAUCCUAUGUAAAGAAAGCCUCCUGAGAGGUUUUUUGUUGGUGUUGUUUUUGUUCCAUCCUCUGAGUUGAGUUUGAAACAAAAAUCUGCAGCUGAGUAGCCCUGAAAACAUCAGUCCAAAUCCAUUUCAGGCCAAGCCUGGCAGAGCCUUUUCCUGCCCUUCAUGUCUGUAGGGAAGGCAGAAGAAAAUAUGCUGAAGCACCAGCUGAAUAGUCGAACACCUGGCAGAGAGAGCUGCUCUGCUCAGCAGAGCAGCUACAGCACAGGCAGUCAACAGCUGCAGGAGAAAGGCAGCGACAUCAAGAUGCACUCCAUUGAAAACUGGUAAUUGAUCUGUUCUGCCACGACACACUGAAACACCAUCCUUCCAUGCUGGAGUUGCAGGCAGAGUGGGAAUGACUGACUGUUAUGAAUGCUAUUUGCAGAAUACCAAUGCAGUGCCCUUUCUCCACUUAAUAGAAAUUUAGAGUUCUUCACAGGGUAAGUGACUGUGCAAUCAGAAUAAACCAAAACUCAUUCAGAAAGCUACGGUAAAUCCCAACACCGAGCAAGGUAUCCCUCACCCGGGACCAGACAGCCAUUUAGGAGUCCCCAGUUUCCCUACACUCCUUCUGUAUCUGGCUGAAAUUCUCCACACAGGCAACUGAGCUGCCAGUGGCUGGUUCAGGGUGUUGGGCACACAGGGCUGAAGACAUCCACAUUUGGUGGGACAGACCCUGGGUUAGUCUUCAAACUCAGGGCAAUUCUUUCAACUAAACUGGAGAUAUUCUGUUUUCAUAUCUACAUCCUUGCUGGCAGAGCUCAGCCUAUUGCAGAGAAAGAUUCUGAUCUUUCUUUCAUCCCCAUGGGACACUGACUUCAGUAAAAUACUCCAUGCUUCAUUUCCCAGUGUUGCAAAACAACUUAAUGGAUCACACACUUAGGGGAGUGUUUCCAUUAAUUUCUAGCUAACAUUCCACCUCUCAUAGCACCAAAAUGUCAGCGGCUUUAGCCUUUUCAAAGCAUUUCCUCCAAGAGCACACGAAGUAAAAAGAAGGCAACUCGCAGUCUUCCUUAGCUAGAUCCAACCUUAUGUCACCUCUGAGGAUGGCGGAAGAGUUACACAAAGCCCCUUUCACUUACCUUUCCUCUGAGCACUUAGCCCUUGAUGACUGACAUUUGUUUGUGUGUGGCCCUGAUCCUCUUCCUCUUUGCACAGAUAUCAAGCACGGAGCUUUGCUAUAGUUGACGUCAGUGGCAUUUUAUCAGCCAAAGAGCAGACAGAAGUGCAGGUACAGCUGACAGAGGAGGCAGGUUGUGCGAGCAAAAAUAUGCAUUUGCUGUUACCAAAAUGGAACUUAUGCUUGUCUCUUUGCAGCUAUAGUCCUUUGAAGCAUUACAGAACCCUGUGAUAACCUAGAUGUUAGAGACGGUAUAAUCACUUAGAGAGUUAAUGUGCAUAAACACAUAUAAAAUGAUUGUUUGCAUUAUUCCUGCACAGUCUUUGUACUGUAUUACUGCAUAAAUCAGAUCUAUUUUACUUUCAUUUGCUAAUCCUUCUACUCUUUUGGGAGCAUCUCAGUGAAUGAAUACACAUUCCAUAUCCUUACAGCCUUAAAAACAAAUGUAUGUUCACAGAUACAUCUUCGAGAAUUUUUUUGCCACAAAGCAUAUUAUUCAAUGUAAUUAUGUAAGAUGCAUGACAAAUCUGAGUGCAAAGGGGCGUGUCAGACAGCAAGUCUUAACAGGAAAACUCAAAGCUUACACAUAGGUCCUGUACUUCUUUGGUGGCAGCUGCAGUCCUCUGAAGGUCAUAAUCCGUCCUGUCUUGCUCCUGCUGGUACCCAAGAGCAUAUGGCAGCCUUUGCAUGGAUGAGACAGUCACAAGUCAUCCCCAUGCAGAAACCAGGAGAAAAAUCAGCAGGAUCAUUUGGAGCAUAUGGAUCCAACGAGGCUUGAAACCUGCCUGAGUGGAGGAGUACGGCAUGCUCAGCUGGUAGCAAACGGCUGUAUUUCUCAGAGAGGAUGAUCCUGCGAAAAGUGGGGUGGAAACUGGUGGCUCCCAGAGGGUUAAGGCUCAUGCUAGCUGGAAGUGAAGGCUACUUUAUAUAGUGAGAGGACAACCCAGAGGGAGUAUGUGAGAUGCUGCCUCAGUAUUAAGCAAUAAUUUAGCAGCCUCCUGUGGGGAAAAAUCCGUGUCACAUUAGGGAGAAGCUGCAUGGCAGACAAGAGAUGUGUUUACAAAUAUUUUUCCUUUGAUUAUUUAGAGACUUCUUGCAAAGCCACAUUGUACUUUGCUUUGGACACCACAGCAGACAAACACCGACUCAAAGGGUUCAUAAAACGCUAAAAGGGGCACGAAGCACACAUGGAAGUUCUUCUUGCAAGGCCAAAAUCCAAUGGCAGAUACAAAGUAUGUACAUAGUUUUCUUUCAUGAUAACAUAGUCCUGUCUGUGUUGGUUAUCAUGCACCCAGAGAGCUGCCUCGCAGGCACGCUGCAUCUUUUUGCCAGCCUUUGACUACAUUUAGCAUGUAGAACUGGUUCUGUACAGGCACACGUUAUAGAGGCACCAGCCCUCACCAUAUAGAACAGUUUGACAGUUCUUACUUGCUGCACUAAGGUCAGCCAUGGCUCUCUGUACAUAUUUGUAUUUCAAUCCUGGCCCAGCAGCCUUGCAGAUGGAUGCAGAGCUCACGUAUGGCAUGGACACCAGCGGUGCUGGGGAGGAGGGACUCUGUGGUGUCCAAAAGUGAUUAGCUUUACUUCCAAAAGGGGAAUUCAGAGAGAAAAUGCAUUGCAGCACUUGGUCCUGGCACUAGCUGUAAUGUAGAUGUCUGUCUGAUGGGCACUGGUCUAAGACCAACAAAAUGCGAUUCAUACAGGCCACUGAGCAGCUUCUCAUGUUAAUGACUUUUGAAUGCCAGUGGCCUGAAUUGCAUCUGUAUUUUAUUAACACUGUUUACAGAGGGAGUAGAAUUCCAGAUGGAGCAUAAAGUACCUUUUUUCUUGUUCUUCCCAUAAUUGCAAAUGCUCAAAUUGCACUUGUAGCUGUUUUAUGACUUGAUAUUGACCUUACACUCUUUGCAUUUUCUACAGCGGAACACUGCAAUUUCUAGGGAGUAGAAAGGUUAUACAGAACUGGUCAAUGCUCUGUGUGAUGCAAAUAAAAAUAAAGUUGUGAGUGUUUAAGCAAGUAUUUCUUUCCAUUUGGCCUUUGAAUUUUUAUUGCUUCCAGCCAGGUCACUUGAAAUGAAAUUGUCCUUCACAGUUCAAGCUAUGGUUGCCUUACAGAUGGCAUAAAGACAGUGCUUUAAGGUCAUUAGAGCCCUGAAGAUGUUAGAGCAGUCCAGAUGAUUUGCAUCUCUAAGGGAAAGGCUUUUAUUUCUGAACUGUUCACCUAAUACUGAUUUGAAAAUGUACCUUUUUCUUCUUCUUCUCAUGAAAACGCCUGUGCCAAGAAUUAGAAAAAGCCUUACUUACAGCCUUGAUGCGUCACCUCUCCAGCAGCUCCCUGACCUGCUGCACUUUGGGUGGCAAUGAUGGCAAAGAAAGAAAGGAGCACUUUGGGCCUCGGAGCUACCAUCGAUCUCAGACAAGGUGAGGGGAAGGAGGCGGGUGCCUCAGCUCCAGAUCCGGGACCAGAUGCACCAUCUGCUUUGUACUGCACUAUCCUGAUGGGAAGACAGCCAUUUCCACUGACAGCUCUGGAGUGGAGGAGACUUUUUCCACUUUCCUGCUUGCUCCUAGUGGGGAAUGCUGUGCAGCCUCCUGGAAGUUGGAAUGCUUAUUGCGUGUGUUACUGAUGCUCCUGCACGUCCCCUGUCAGGUAGGAGUGGUGGUGCCUCUACACCUCAGCUUCCAUCUGCACCUUCCCUUUCAGCAGUGACCUUGGGGUGCGAUGGGAAAGCAUGGAAGUGCAGAUCAAAAACUCUUCAAGAAACGCAGCUAGGAAGCAAGCAGCAUACUGUAGUAUGUGGCUGCUGGAGCUGAGACACGACUGUCCUCUCUGACACGACUGCAGGGAAUCCGCGCAAUGCUUCUCAGAAAUAAUUUGUUUCUGCGCUGGAUCUACUUUUGCACAACGGGGAUACUUGCCUCUAUCAAACCGGUGGUCGAAAUCCGAGGUCGGCGCGUGCAGGAGGAGAGUGAACUUCCCGGGGAUGCCUUUAGAUGUCUCCCUUCCUCGUCUGUUCGGCGAUGACAGCAGGGGCUGGGCUGCCUGCGGGUUGGGCUGCAGAGCAGUCAGAUUGCCUCGGAGGGUAAACGAGGAUUUUUGAAAACCUUCUAAAGCAAAAGUUAAUGGAAAAGAGAGCCUCGUUGCUCACAGAUACGUCAUUACUUUCUCAGGCGUUUAUGAACAAAUAAAAUGCAUCUACUACAUGGGAGAAGAGUUCUUCCCCUGUGCCCCACGCUCCAGCCCUACCCCCAAGCAAUUGUCUUACUUAUUACAAUUUCAACAUCUCUUCUCUUUGAAGUACAACCUGUUGUUUCGUUAUAUUAUUUCCAUUCAUGCUGUGGAAAUAAAACUUACGACAGUGUCGAUUUCUCAGAUCCGCUUGUAGACUUGGAAAUUUGCAUCAGAUUAUUCUAAUCACUUAGCCUUGUUGUAUAUAUUUACACAAGCACUUUUGAUGUUUAAACAGACCAGGCUGUAAUGAGAUAGGCGCGGGGAAAUAAAUACCCCAAAGAAAAGGAAUGUUCUCUUUUUUUCAGGCCGCUUCCUAAACUAGAAAUGUUCAGCUAAAACAGUGGGUCAGUGCCUUUGGGACCUGAGGGAAUGACUCUAAGGGUGGAAGCACGGAGGGAUGGAUCUGCCUUCAGAUGCACUGGGCAGAGAGAAGAGCACCUGGGUGCCUGUGAGGGUGAGGAGCGUGCUGAGGACUUGUCCUUCUGUGCCCUUUGUUACAGCUGUAAGCCGCCUCCUUGGCCAUCCUGGCACAAGAAACUAUCCCACAUGAACCCUAGAUGUCAAUAUGCAUUGACACAAGUUUCUAGAGGCUGAGCAGGAAGAGGAUCAGCUCCACUGAUUUCAGUGGCAACAGUUGCAGAAACAGCAAAAAGUCCUGGGACUGACUGUGGUGCAAUUGUGCUGGCUCAGCUCCAGACAUGCAGGAAGUCCUGCAGCAUUGUGUUCCUGCAGGCAGGAGGCCUGGUAAGCACAGCAGCCACGCAAUCAGGUUAACUCAGUCUUGAGGCCGGCUCCAUUAGAUCAAGAACAACAGGCAAACAGAAGCAGCCCAUACAUAGCAAAUGUAGAAAAAGGUGGAGAAGUAGACCAGGUGAAGGAGAGACAGGAAUCUUAUGGACUGAAGAAGACAAGAAAUCUUACCCUAAGAUGCAGGAAAUUGCCAAUUGUUUCAUUUACAGUUUAGCUUCACAAAGGCCAGGGGAUCGUAUUUACAUUUGCAUGAUAGAACACAAAGAAUACUUGCAAUUCUUGAAAUAGCAGAAAGGGGGAACAUUCUGGAUGACCCUGUUGUUAACGUAGUCUUGAAGUGGAAUCUGGAACAAAUCAGCCAUUACACAAUAAACCACUCAAAAGACUACAAAAAACUGCGUGUCAGCACAGUUUUAAUUUUGUAACGGGAGUUAGUGAAGUUUGUGUGUAAGAACUUAAAGAAAGAAAAAGAGAAGCUUGUUCUGAGAAGAUGCACUUCCAUAAACUCAGUGACAGAUGAGAGCAGACUUUGUAACUCUCACACUGAAAGUGAUCUAUCCACUUAGACAUGCAAAUGUCAUUUUGAAUAAGUCUAACAUUUUGAAUUGUCAACGGUGGGAAGAGGUUUCUCUAAAGGCAAGUUGUAUUCUUCAGUUAUCCUAAGCUUGUAAACCAUGUAGAACCAAGGGGGAAAAAAAAGAACAAAAUUGAAAGAUUCUGCUUUACUAGCAUUUGGUGACUGAAAGAUUCCGCUUUACUAGCAUUUGGUGACUGAAAGAGCUCAUUAAGAUAACAUUUUCCACUUUAUAACCGCUUCACAAGCAAAUAUUCCUGGCAGCACUGCUCCUCUCAUACUUAGGGAUACUUUAAAGAGGAUGGCCAGGACCUUUGCCUGGGCCAGAAGAGAAGCAAGCGCAUGGCCAGUGCUGGCUGGGCAGUCUCUGAGCACAUUCCUCUGCCCUCCAUGGAUGCAGCAGCAGUAACACCCCAGGGCUUUCAUUCUAGCUGACUUGUUUUGUCUUAUUCCUAACUUGCAAGUUAUAUGCCUUGUUGCACCGGUAACUUCAUGAGACUCUGUGACCCACUUGAAGCAUGGUCAGAGACUAAUGGUCCCUCUUCACCUUAAAGGACAUGCACUUGUGAAAUGAUCAGAAGUACCUGGAGAUUCACAACUUUUCUCCUUCACAGAAGUAUCCCAAGACAUAGAUAGCACACACAGUGGGAACCAUGUUAUUUUCCCUCAGCAGCAACUGAUUCAGCAGCACCAUCUUGACCUAUGCCAGCUACUGCUUCAGCUCCUUGCCUGUAGGAGAGAGACAAAUGGACUUUGAUAGCUAUCCAACAUGAGCAGAACUCUCCCAUGGUGGACAGGUUUGGAAUACUCCAGGUCUAACAAAAUGGGAGCUCCUAUCAGUUCCACCCUGAGGUCUCAUGGAUGCCUCGAGUAGCUUUGCAGCUCCAUUGUGACAUUACACCAAUUUUCCAUCAUGACCAGCAUGAUCCUACUUGGAUAUUCCAGGUGGUGCCCUGUCCCUACCUCCUAAGGGAUAGCUCAUGUCUGACAGCAAAAGCAGAUUUCAAUGAUGUUCUUGAUUUAAAUCCAGAAAACAACAUCUUGAUGAACUCAUGCUCCUGGUUAUUAGUAGAGACUACCAGAUUGCUGCACAUCAGGGAGGGGAACUGCAUUUUCCUUCUCAACUUCUUGUAACCUAAAGGAGUAGAAAGACUGCUUUAUGCUUAUGGUCGAUAGGGUGCACGGUGUGCACAGAGAAAUCACACUUCAUCUUGCAAAUUUAUCAUACUAUUAUUCUACAGUUUUUCUACAGCUAAAACCUACAAGUUGCUAAAAUUGCUACCAUUGUUAAAUGCUACUCAGACCUGAAAUACAUCUAUAGUUAUCAAAACUGAGCUGGGAAGCCAAUGGGUAUAAGAGACCUAACUGUGAAUGUCUUGCUCCAGGUUACUUUCUGUAGUUGGUAAUAGAGAGAAAGAAAGAAAGAUUUGCAUUAGCAGUUCUGAUCCAAGCAGGACGUAGUAAAAUUGGGAAUCAUUUUCAUGUAAACACCUAAUUAAGCUUUGAGUUCUAGUUUAGUUUUGGAAGCAAGUUCUGAAGUACUUAUAACAAGGAUUAAAAGAUGUAACAAAGGGACAAGAGUCUUGAAACAGCUCCUGAAGUCAGGGUUGCUCACCUUUCUGCUUCCUGAUUAAGGCAAAGAUAACAUCUGCAAUAAACUGGAGUGAACUGAUUGAUUUGCUUGAGAAGUUUCCAAAAGCAUAAGUACCUUUUCCUGAAGCAACCUAUCGUGACAAAAAAAAAUCCCUUUCCUCUUAAAAAAAAAAAAUCACAUACAAAAUAUGCACAUUUCAGCACUUUUCCUCCCUGAGGCUUUCUCAGUCUAGGAAAAAAAAGAGAUGUUUUUUUCCAAUUGCCUGUAAAAGGUUUGCAUCUCUGCCAGGUGGUUUGCAUCUGACAGUCAAAUACUGCUGAUGAGAAUCAUCAGUUCCUUCAAGGACUUGACAUUGCAUCCAAUUUGUUUCGCAAGUGAGUGUGUAAGGAAGUGACUGCAGCUAUUAUUCUGUUAGAUUUAGCCAAAACAUCCCCAGAAGAGGUAGGAGGGCAUGCUGGGAAUUGUUUGAUGAGCCUGCUGGGAGAAUAAUUACAUGGCCAGCAGUUUGUUCACUUUAUCUUCUGUAGCACUUUCUUAGUGCCUUUUGUGUGGUUUGAGUACUCGGCUUUUUGAAUGAAAGAAUAUUUACUGCUAUUGUCUCUCCAGCUAAUUCCCAGAUUAUGCUGUCUCAGAUGUGCAUUCUGGGAUAAUUCUGUGUUACAUUAAGUAUUAUGAAAUUUAAAUAUUUUCUUCAAUAUUCUCUUCCUUACUCGAGAUGGAAUUUUCUGCACCAUAACUGUGACUGAACUGGGAAGAGUUGCCCUCUGAUUAUGAUGCUUACACAGACCAUAGGACCAAUUCUGCUGUAAUCUUGCUGCUCUGAGCAGGACGAAUGUCAAAACUUGCAACUUCAAGACAAUUUUUUGGGGUUAAAAUGGCACAUAUAAACGUUGAUUUUGUUUUUAAUGUAACGUCUUACAGCUUAAAGCUUUCAAGAGUAGCCUAGGUAGCAGGGAAACAAAGAUCUGUUAGAGUUUCAGUUUGUUUCAGCAGCUUUUGAAAAAAAUAAAUGGGUAUGAGCCCCUGGAAGACAGCAUGUGGAAGUAUUACCAAAAUAUUAAUUCUGAGGUGACAGGAAAAUCGAAAGCUAUGAAAGGAAUCACAUUUAAAACUGGAAACUGUGCUUAUUCAGCUGACUACAAGGGGGUCCAUGACAGCUGUGGGCGCCUUCUAUAAGGCAGGGAUGCAAUAAAAAAGGUGGUAAUAGCAAACCUCAUCCAGCAAUCCACCUUCCAAGAGCAGUCUGACUGCUCCUCUCUAGACCAGUUCUCUUCUCAGCUGCUGUUCCUGAUCCAGCAGACCUGUGUGUGUGUAUCCUAAGCCAUCAGUCUCACAUCUCUCUGGUGGGUGCAGUAUGUGUGCUUUUUGGCACUCCAGGAGGAAAUACAUGGCUGCACAUCCCUUGUUUUAAAUAAAUUGAAGUGAAUACAAAAGAAGGAGAAGAGAAAAGUAAAGGAUGUAAAAAUUACCAUACCAGAGCCUUUUGCUGCUAGAAAUAUGGAUAAAAAAUAUUGCUUGUGACUCCAGUGAAAUGAGCCUGCUCUUAGAGAGCCUUCUACAAUCUAUCUUGUUUGUGCACUUUAGACUUCAGAAGAACUAACCUUAUUGGAAUAGAGUUGGAAACAUUGGAUCAUUGGCCAAAGCUUUAAAGAAAAUGUUUCCUUGCUACAGAAAGAACAUUAGCAUUCUCACAAAGAAGGUUCCAUAGAAACAAGAAAUACAUUUUUACAGCAAAACUCCCUUUGAUGUGAAUCUUGAGCAAAGCACAAAAAAAGGGCCAGUGGGAUUCUAUUUCCUUCUGUGUACGCUUUUGCAAUUCUUUUUUUUUUUUUUUUUUUUGCUAAUGGGCCACCUGGGAUAUUGUCUUUCUGGUGACUGAACUAAGGCACCUUAGCAGGGUGGGAGGGAUACAAAGGAUUCCUCAAAGGAACGCACUUGCUCUAAGCAGCUUCUCAGAGGGAAAUAUUUCUGUGUCUUUUACCCAUCUUUUCGGUUUCUUCACAAUGUCUCCUUCACCUUACAGUUGCACAGCAGAAGUGCAACUUGAAUUACCAGCCAGCAUCAGCUCCAGCAGUCUGCUCCUGACAGAAGAUAAUGCUGGAGAAAAAAAAUCAAGAAAUUACCUUACUGGCAACAAAGAAAUGUCAGGCUACUUCCUAAGGAGCACAUCAGUUGGAGGGCUGCGUUUGCCUGAAGAGGGUAGUGAUGGGGACACUGUUGAAAAGGACUGAGCCCUACCAAGAAGAAAAGAAAAUGGAUGGUGUGGGGCAUGUGGGAUAUCAGCAGGGAAGAAGGAAACAGCAAUGGAGGAAGAAACUGAAUUUCAGGAAAAAAAGAAAGAAACCUUGCAUGCAUCCUCAUUUUAAGUUUUCUGAAUGCCCUACAGCUGUAUGAAAACCUCAUGCAGGGGAGAGAACACACAGACAAUCUAGGAUGGUUUGGGCUGGUUUCUCUGCAUUUGUACCUCCCUUUCUGCUACCUAUGGAACAGUUCAUUUCUGUACCCCUCCUGAAGUUUGUGCAUCUGGCUGAGCUGGCAGCCUCGUUUACAUGAAGAUGACACAUUUAGGCUCCAUGUCCUUAAUUUCUCC